Molecule: long non-coding RNA, 276 nt
Filed under: Mytilus galloprovincialis (Mediterranean mussel)
Lineage: Eukaryota; Metazoa; Mollusca; Bivalvia; Mytilida; Mytilidae
Source: RNAcentral
UGUAAUAGGGUUCUUGUGGCGAAUAAAAGGAUUCGUCAAGUUUAAUUAUUCAUUUAUUCAUACGACAUAAAUAAAUCAACCCUGAAAGUACACAAAUAACAAAACGUAAAUACAUAGACAGUACAGUGUACAAAGGGAUAUAACUCUAAAUCAUAAAACGGAAAGUACAUGUAUAAAAUACGAUAAACUAGCUCUUUUCUGUAAGAAUACAACCAAUACUAUUUAAGUGUAUAUAUUAUAAUUAUAUGAAUUCAAUCAAACUCAAUUAUAAACCAA